GGGAAGGAUGAUACCUACCGCGCAGGAAGGCUGAAAAUUCAGAUGGCGUAAAAUGCUUAAUUAGCAUAGCGCCAGCGUGGUAAGCGCUCAACAAGCGGCAAUGUCUAACAUCUUGGGGUGGAGAGGACUUCGCACGUACUCUCCUUCGAGGUCGUAAAGGCGUCUGCCGACAAAAAGGGCGUUCGUGACGAAAAAGUACCCAAAGCGCGAUUCCGAGACUCUGCGCGCACCCCACCGCUUCAGUUCAUGCCACUCGCGGCAUGCCGGAGCUACAAAAAUCAGCACGGCCUCCCUACAAGAGACCUGAAAUCAAUGGGGUGGUAAGGAAGACAAAAGUUCGAGAAAGCGGAAGAAGAGGCCUUCCCAUCGGGCCCUCCUGGGAGCCGUCCACGGAACACCAUCUGGCGCCACGAGGGAGGGGGACAUCGAAUUCUAAAAUAGGGCUGCCGAAUCUCCCCGGAAAAUUUCUACUCUCCUGAUGUCACCUACAACAGGUAUCCUGAUGACAUUCAACGUCUAUCUCCAGAACUGACAGACGCUUCCGUAUCUUUGGUUUCUGUUAGAAAGUUCAGGACCAGCAAGAGCACAGGACACAGGGCAUGAUUUGUGCAUAAAACUGAUUUUACUUUGGCUUCGUUGCCCCUCCCCUAUUUUCUCUUCACCCUGAUUUCCUCACUUAUUAAAAAAAUAAUAAUUCUACUAUA
Felis catus (domestic cat) is the source of this 704-nucleotide long non-coding RNA. RefSeq lists it as uncharacterized. The record is from RefSeq and is a predicted model, not a curated record. NCBI's taxonomy places the organism in Eukaryota, Metazoa, Chordata, Mammalia, Carnivora, Felidae. The transcript is spliced from 2 exons.